This is a long non-coding RNA of Ailuropoda melanoleuca (giant panda), 732 nucleotides long. RefSeq lists it as uncharacterized. The transcript has 3 exons. NCBI's taxonomy places the organism in Eukaryota, Metazoa, Chordata, Mammalia, Carnivora, Ursidae. The record is from RefSeq and is a predicted model, not a curated record.
CUGACUUCUCCUUCUCUCUCCUCUCUCCUCAGGGAUCCGGUGUGAUUAAAGCUGGUUUUGCUGGUGAUCAGAUUCCCAAAUACUGCUUUCCAAACUAUGUGGGCAGACCCAAACACGUUCGCGUCAUGGCCGGAGCCCUUGAAGGUGACAUCUUCAUUGGCCCCAAGGCCGAGGAACACCGAGGGCUGCUCUCCAUCCGCUACCCCAUGGAGCAUGGCAUCGUCAAGGAUUGGAACGACAUGGAGCGCAUCUGGCAGUAUGUCUAUUCCAAGGACCAGCUGCAGACUUUCUCAGAGGAGGUGAGGGUCCCGUGAGCAGGGCGUGCGGAGCUGUCAGAGCCACAGCCCCAGAGAUGAUCACUGCUGGGAGUGUUGGAGUCUUACUGGGGCACCAGGCCCCGUGCUCUUCAGACAGGCCUACCCUUAAUCUGCACGCCAGUCCUACGACAAACAGGGAGUAUUAUCUCCAUUUUACAAACAAAGGAACAGAAAGAAGUUCAGUGAAGCCAAGUAGUCUUUCCAGGAUCACCUAGGGAAUAAAGUGGGAGAGCUGGGACUCAAACCCAUGUUUUUCAGACUUCAGAGCUUAUACUCUAACUUCUAAGGAAGUAGCUAGCAAUGCAGAAAAACAAAGGAAGCUGAAUACUAGACAUAUCAGAAUUUCCGGGGGGGGAGAGUUGUUCAUUUUUCAAAAAUACCUUCAAAAUAUUUAAAUUUAAUUUUGAAAAAAAGA